AUGUUUUCUGCAGUCUCUCUGUCUCGUGUCAAUAACAUCAGAUCGGCCCUCACGAACGCCCAGAAGGGGUCACAGUCGGCCUCCACCAUCUUCGGGAAGAUGCGUGCCCUCUCCGACGAGCUUGCGGCGGCAGGCAAACCGAUCGGGGAGGACGAGCUCAUCUCCUUCAUGGUCGCCGGGCUUGAUAUGGAGUAUCAGCCCAUCAUCUCUGCACUCGACGUCCGCACCGAGCCCAUCAUCGUCGACGCACUCUUCUCGAUGGUGGCCAACUUCGAUCAACAUGCUGAGAUGUUCAGCAGCGCUGGUGGCUUCAAGUCAUCCGCGAACGCCGCUUCUAGGGGGCGAUCGAGUGGCGGCCGAGGCGGCUACCGCAACCAGAAGCAAGGUGGUCGCGGCGGCGGCUACGCUGGUGGUGGUGGCCAAAACCCUAGCAGCGGUUAUCCUGGCACGGGUAGCGGCGGCUACCACCAAGGCGGCGGUGGCUACAACAACCACGGCGGCGGCGGCUACAGCACCCAUGGCAACGGCGGCAGCCAAAGCAGCGGCCACCGUGGCGGCGGCGGCGGGGGCUAA
RNAcentral lists this ribosomal RNA (573 nucleotides) under Triticum aestivum (bread wheat). Its description in RNAcentral is "partial small subunit ribosomal RNA". The record is from RNAcentral. Lineage: Eukaryota; Viridiplantae; Streptophyta; Magnoliopsida; Poales; Poaceae.